UUGUGAAAUUAGUGUCACCACCUCUCACUCUCACCCCUUCCUCUGUAUAGAAUAUAUUUUCAUCUCAUUUCACUUCUAGGGUUUCCAAUACAUUUUGGAUCUGGUAGUGAAGAACACAAAUGGGUUACAGUAAAUGGAAUUCUGGUUUUGUAUGGGAACCCGGUGGAACAACAAUCAUCAUCUUCUUCCGAUCACACUAUGAUUUUUCCUCUCACCACUAAAUAAAAGCUUCAACUCACUUCUCCGCUAAAGCAAAGUUUUGUCCUCACCUCUACCACGGCAUGAAACACACAGCUAGAGUUGGUAAAGUUUGGACCAAAACCACAGGACCUGUGACUGGAAGCUUGCGGCCUGAAGAGGUCCUUUCUACCAUGUUCCUGAUGACAGAUUUCACCCAAAUAAUUGGAGAAUUCAAAAUGUUUGGGUGACAAGAAAAGGAAACUGUUGCAUUUAGUGGAUAAUGGCUUUUCAGUCGAUGAAGUUUCAGCAGCCAUUGACUCAAAGGGUGUGCAUCCAUCUGUAUGCAGCAUAAAUUUAUUUGUGCUUUCUUUAUUGGUGAGCAUGGGUAGAGCUGAAAUGAAAGUCUCGAUGGGUUGCUUGCAAGGACUGGAUAUCGAUGAAACAUUCAGUUUCUGUUGGAAUUGAGGUUCUGCCACAUCGGAACUCAGCUAAUAUUGAAGGGGCUCUCCGCUGUGGGCAACUUGGUGAAACUAGAAAUGUAGGUGAGGAAUGUGAAGGUAGCUUUGAAAAGUCUGUCUAACCCCAUGAUACACGCUGUUUUCAACUCCAUAAAGAUUUGAGAUUUCCUAAAAUGCAAUUGGCCAAAGUGUACAUCAAAAAGAUGAUGAAGACCACAAUGGAGAACUCAGAAUAUCUGUGUGACAAGAAAAGGAAACUGUUGCUUUUAGUGGAUAGGGGGCUUCCCAGUUGACGAAGUUUCAGCAGCCAUCGACUCAUAAGAGAUUGAGGGAAUGAAAGGGUGGUUAGCUAAAUUGUUACUUAGCGAAGAUGUCUUGUUCUGAGAAAUGGAUUUGUUUAGUUCUCAGUUAAGCUGUUGAGGUAGUUUUCAGUCGGUGUUUUUCGGAGGAGAAACAGGUCUUGUGAGACUCCGUUCACAACAAGACUAAUGCCAUUGGGUUUCUUUCAACUGAAAUGUUAAUCUGUAUGGAAAGCCGUGGACUACUGAUAAGCUUGAUUGUAUUUUGAAUUUCUUUCCAGAUUCACUUCAAUCUGAUCAGGAGUCUCUCUGCUGUGCAGAAAGUAAGUGCAAUUUAGUCGUGAGUUUUUCAUAUUAGAAGAUAUAUUAGUAGUGUGUUCCAUUGGCAGCCUAUCGAUAUACAGUAGCAUUUGGUUUGAUGGCUGCUACUUUGAAAUGUCAUUGAUCUGUAACUGAAAUGAGCCUUGAGCAGUGAUCACUGGUUGAUCUAUAAAAUGAGCCUUGAGCAGUGAUCACUGGUUAAUC
This is a long non-coding RNA of Papaver somniferum (opium poppy), 1462 nucleotides long. RefSeq lists it as uncharacterized. The record is from RefSeq and is a predicted model, not a curated record. Lineage: Eukaryota; Viridiplantae; Streptophyta; Magnoliopsida; Ranunculales; Papaveraceae. The transcript is spliced from 5 exons.